UUGGAGGGCAAGUCUGGUGCCAGCAGCCGCGGUAAUUCCAGCUCCAAUAGCGUAUAUUAAAGUUGUUGCAGUUAAAAACGCUCGUAGUUGAAUUUCGGGAUCAAUUUGUUGGUCGUGCCUCGGUACGUACUGGCAUUAUUGGUUUCUACCUUCUGAAGAACCUUGAUGUCAUUAAUUGGUGUCUUGGGGAAUCAGGACUGUUACUUUGAAAAAACUUAGAGUGUUUAAAGCAAGCUAACGUUUGAAUACAUUAGCAUGGAAUAAUGAAAUAGGACGUUUGAUUCUAUUUUGUGGUUUCUAGGAUCG
Molecule: ribosomal RNA, 306 nt
Filed under: Glomus sp.
Lineage: Eukaryota; Fungi; Glomeromycota; Glomeromycetes; Glomerales; Glomeraceae
Description: SSU rRNA
Rfam family: Eukaryotic small subunit ribosomal RNA
Source: RNAcentral